This 624-nucleotide long non-coding RNA is filed under the name Androctonus crassicauda. The record is from RNAcentral. Lineage: Eukaryota; Metazoa; Arthropoda; Arachnida; Scorpiones; Buthidae.
GUUUAGAACUUUUAUCAUAACACUCAUUAAAUUCUCAAUAUGAUUCUAUAUAUAAAGAACAUAGAAAAUUUUAAACCUGUUUUUUCAAAAAUACUUGAGUUGUUCCAUAUUUAUUAUAGAUUUGUGGGAGGAUAUAUUACAACAUAUAUAAAAAUCAACAAAAUUCAAAAGGGCCAUGAUUGGCACUCCUCUUGUAAGACCAAUAGAAAAGUUCAUGAAGCUAUUGCACUCACUAUAAGAGGGAUGUUGAAUCUAUGGCUUGUCUGUCCAAAAUGACAGGUUGAAAAAUUUUUUGGCACAGAAAACUUGAACCUGAUACAAUAAACUCUCAAUGAUCCAGAGUUAAUUUAUCUGAAUUAUGAAUUAUUGAUGUUUUAUCUUAACUGUGAUAUCUGAAGCCUUUUUAAGCAUUCAGAUUAUUAUUAUUAUUAUCUGUUUGCACUGGUUGCCAGGACUGGAUGCACAGAGAGCUAUGGCACCAUCAGGCAGUUGACUUGAUUUCCUGCAUCAGGCUGGAACAGUUGAUCAUGAUUUUUAAAAAUUAUUUUUCAGUAAUCUAAAAAGCUUUCUGGAAUUUAAUUACUGUAUAUUGUAGAUUAUAUUUGUUAUUAUUGAUUACCGAUA